GGGCUCCGGUCGCGCGCAGCGGCGGUCUCCCGAGUUGUGUCCCUCAGCCGCGGUCGCCGUCGCUCUCGACGCGGUCGUCCCCGCCGAGCCGCGGGCGCCGCCGCAGGGAGGGAGCGGCGCUGCGGCCGCCGCCGUCCGAGGACGCCCCGUCUUCCGGGGCCCGGCACGGUGGCUGCCGGCCCGCCGAGCGCAGCCCGCUGGGGAGGAAGGCGGCGGCUCGCGUCGUGCGGGCCGCCGGAGCCGGGAGGAGACCAUGUCCGGGAGUCACCCUCAGCUCUCCACGACCGAUCGCGUCAUCAAAGCUGUCCCCUUUCCUCCAACCCAACGGCUAACUUUGAAGGAAGUAUUUGAGAAUGGGAAACCUAAAAUGGAUGUUUUGAAAAACCAUUUGGUCAAAGAAGGCCGGGUGGAAGAGGAGGUGGCCUUAAAGAUCAUCAAUGACGGGGCUGCCAUCCUAAGGCAGGAGAAGACUAUGCUGGAAGUGGACGCUCCAAUCACAGUGUGUGGUGAUAUUCAUGGACAAUUCUUUGACCUGAUGAAGUUGUUUGAAGUUGGGGGAUCACCUAGUAAUACUCGAUACCUCUUUCUGGGUGACUAUGUGGACAGAGGCUAUUUCAGUAUAGAGUGUGUGCUGUAUUUAUGGAGUUUAAAGAUUAACCAUCCUAAAACAUUGUUUCUGCUUCGAGGAAAUCAUGAAUGCAGGCAUCUUACAGAGUACUUCACCUUCAAACAGGAAUGCCGGAUUAAGUAUUCGGAACUGGUGUAUGAAGCAUGUAUGAACACAUUCGACUGUCUUCCUCUCGCUGCUCUCCUAAACCAGCAGUUUCUCUGUGUACACGGAGGAAUGUCACCUGAAAUUACUUGUUUAGAUGACAUAAGGAAAUUAGAUAGGUUUGCCGAACCCCCUGCUUUUGGGCCAGUGUGUGACCUGCUCUGGUCUGAUCCCUUAGAGGAGUAUGGCAGUGAGAAGACUCUGGAGCACUAUACCCACAACACUGUCCGCGGCUGCUCCUACUUCUUCAGUUACCCUGCGGUUUGUGAAUUUUUACAGAACAACAAUUUAUUAUCAAUAAUCAGAGCCCAUGAAGCCCAGGAUGCUGGGUACCGAAUGUAUAGGAAGAGCCAAGCAACGGGCUUUCCAUCACUCAUUACAAUUUUCUCUGCCCCUAAUUACCUCGAUGUUUAUAACAAUAAAGCUGCAGUGUUGAAAUAUGAAAACAAUGUUAUGAACAUCAGGCAGUUUAACUGCUCUCCACACCCCUACUGGCUCCCAAAUUUCAUGGAUGUUUUCACGUGGUCUUUGCCUUUCGUUGGAGAAAAAGUCACAGAGAUGUUGGUCAAUAUUCUCAACAUAUGCUCUGAUGAUGAGCUGAUGUCAGACGAUGAAGCGGAAGGAGGCACUUCAGUUCGAAAAGAGAUCAUCAGGAAUAAAGUCAGAGCCAUUGGGAAAAUGGCACGGGUCUUUUCGGUUCUUCGGGAGGAGAGUGAGAGUGUGCUAACCCUCAAGGGCCUCACUCCCACAGGCACACUCCCCUUGGGGGUCCUCUCUGGAGGACGGCAGACCAUUGAGACUGCCACAGUACAAGCAGCAGAGGCACGGGAAGCCAUCAAAGGGUAUCCACACAAGAUCCAAAGUUUUGAAGAAGCCCGAGGUCUAGACAGAAUUAAUGAGCGAAUGCCACCCCGAAAAGAGGGUGGGCAUCCUGACGGGCCGGUGAAGAUGGUCCACUCGCAUGCUGCACGAAGGGGCGACCACGGAAAGAAAGCCCUGUAAUGACUCAGAGCCCCGUGCAGCACAGAUGAGUCCCAACCAUGCAAUCAAAUGGUAUUUAUUUAUUAGUGGAAAUGGAACAGAAACAACUCAAACAACUUAACUUGGAGGUGCAUCUGUAAUUCAGUCGCAUUUAUUCUGUAAGAAAGAAAACCUCGUUGUCAGUGGCUAAAACUGCUUCUGUUCUGGGGGAAACUUGAACUUCCAAGAGAACAACUUAAUCCUAGUGAUUUUAAGAUCCAGGUGGGACUGGCUCCCACAGUAAUUUAUCUUUGACUCUUCAGUUCCAUGAUUGUGGGGUUGUUUGUUUGUUUGUUUGUUUGCGAUACAUGGGAUUGAACCCAUGCCUCACACAUGCUAUGGAGGUACUCUGCCACUCAGCUACACCUCCAUUCAUCGAUACAUUUUCAUGUGUUCUAAUAAAGUUCCUCCUAAAAAAGAAA
Molecule: RNA transcript, 2214 nt
Organism: Mesocricetus auratus (golden hamster)
Lineage: Eukaryota; Metazoa; Chordata; Mammalia; Rodentia; Cricetidae
Gene: Ppp3cc
Gene name: protein phosphatase 3 catalytic subunit gamma
Exons: 15
Source: RefSeq, a predicted model, not a curated record